Molecule: ribosomal RNA, 485 nt
Filed under: uncultured bacterium
Lineage: Bacteria
Description: bacterial SSU rRNA
Rfam family: Bacterial small subunit ribosomal RNA
Source: RNAcentral
AUUGAACGCUGGCGGCAUGCCUUACACAUGCAAGUCGAACGGCAGCACGGACUUCGGUCUGGUGGCGAGUGGCGAACGGGUGAGUAAUAUAUCGGAACGUGCCCUGGAGUGGGGGAUAACUAGUCGAAAGAUUAGCUAAUACCGCAUACGAUCUACGGAUGAAAGUGGGGGAUCGCAAGACCUCAUGCUCGUGGAGCGGCCGAUAUCUGAUUAGCUAGUUGGUGGGGUAAAAGCCUACCAAGGCAUCGAUCAGUAGCUGGUCUGAGAGGACGACCAGCCACACUGGGACUGAGACACGGCCCAGACUCCUACGGGAGGCAGCAGUGGGGAAUUUUGGACAAUGGGGGCAACCCUGAUCCAGCAAUGCCGCGUGAGUGAAGAAGGCCUUCGGGUUGUAAAGCUCUUUUGUCAGGGAAGAAACGGUUCUGGCUAAUAUCCGGAGCUAAUGACGGUACCUGAAGAAUAAGCACCGGCUAACUACGUGC